RNAcentral lists this ribosomal RNA (780 nucleotides) under Pecoramyces ruminantium. RNAcentral describes it as "partial large subunit ribosomal RNA". It matches the Rfam family "Eukaryotic large subunit ribosomal RNA", at positions 38 to 667 of the family's 3401-position model. The record is from RNAcentral. Lineage: Eukaryota; Fungi; Neocallimastigomycota; Neocallimastigomycetes; Neocallimastigales; Neocallimastigaceae.
GCAUAUCAAUAAGCGGAGGAAAAGAAACUAACAAGGAUUCCCUUAGUAACGGCGAGUGAAGCGGGAAGAGCUCAAAUUUGAAAUCUUCAAGGUUCUACCUUGACGAAUUGUAGUUUAAAGAAGUGUUUUCUGUUAGAUGAGUAGCAAAAGUUCCUUGGAAUGGGACAUCAUAGAGGGUGAGAAUCCCGUAUUUGGUUAUUCAUUCUAGCUUUGUGAUACACUUUCAAAGAGUCGGAUUGUUUGGGAAUGCAGUCCAAAGUGGGUGGUAAAUUUCAUCUAAAGCUAAAUAUUGGCGAGAGACCGAUAGCGAACAAGUACCGUGAGGGAAAGAUGAAAAGAACUUUGAAAAGAGAGUUAAACAGUACGUGAAAUUGUCAAAAGGGAAGCGUUUGACACCAGUGUUGUUUUUCCGAAAAUCAAUUACGAAUGGCUUGAUUUUGUGUUGUAUUGACCUUAUCAGCUUUCUGCACUUUUUUCGAGUCUUUCUUAAUGCACUUUUCGGUUAACAAGUCAACAUCAAUUUCUUUUGUUGUAAAAGAGUAUUCGGAAGGUGGCUUUCUUUUCGGAGAGAGUGUUUAUAGCCCUAUACUUCUACAAUCGGAGAGAUUGAGGUCUGCAGCGUAGAUCCUUCGGGGUUAGAUACACUUGUGCUAAGUUGUAGCUUUUCAUAGACAACUUGUUGACUAUGUUUAGUCAUGCGGCUUACUCGCUUGUGCUAUUUUACCUACGCUUAGGAUGUUGACAAGAUGGUUUUAAACGACCCGUCUUGAAACACGGACC